AAAAGUGCGUAACAGCUUACCAGUCAAGAUUCAGGGCGCUGAAAAUGGACGGGGCUUAAGCCUGCCACAGAUACCACGGACCAUACGAAUAGUAUGAUGGCGUAGAGAGGCGUCCUGCAUGGGCGGAAGCAGGGUUGCAAGAUCCUGUGGACCGUGCAGGAAUGAAAAUUCUGGCAGUAGAAGAAGCUUAAGAUUGGUGAGAAUCCAAUCCGCCGCAGGGGCUAGGUUUCCUCGACAAUGUUCGUCAGUCGAGGGUUAGUCGGUCCUAAGACGUACCGUAACUCGAGUACGCCGAAAGGGAAACAGGUUAAUAUUCCUGUACCUGUAUCAAACAAUCCUGACGCUUUCGGAUAGGCAUUGCGGAGUCAUCGCUCCGUCUAAGCCGGAUAUGAAAUUGGAGUACCGUAAUGGUGAGAAUUUUUCAAAACGGUGAUGGGGUAACAAUGCUGAUUCCAGGAGCCCGUGAAAAGGGUGAUACGGUCCGUACCGAGAACUGACACAGGUGCCCCUCGCUGAGAAGGCGAAGGCGUGUCGGGAGUAAAUGUGUUAAGGGAACUCGGCAAAUUAGCCCUGUAACUUUGGGAUAAGGGGUGCCUGCCCAGCGAUUGGGCAGGUCGCAGUGACAAGAUCGCUCCGACUGUCUAAUAACAACAUAGCAGACUGCAACUCCGAAAGGACUCGUAUAGUCUGUGAUUCCUGCCCAGUGCGAGUAUCUGAACACCGGGUUCAACCGGACGAAGGACUCGUAAACGGCGGGGGUAACAAUGACCCUCUUAAGGUAGCGUAGUACCUUGUCGCUUAAUUGGCGACUUGCAUGAAUGGAAUAACGAGAGCGAUACUGUCCCUAACACAUACCCGUUGAACCUUUUGUACUAGUGCAGAGACUAGUGACUCCUUAUGGGAAGUGAAGACCCCGUGGAGCUUUACUGCAGCCUGUCGUUGGGUUACGGUAUUACCUGCGCAGGGUAGAUGGGAGACGUCGAUCCAACCCUUGUGGGGGUUGGUUAGUCACCGAUGAGACACCAUCCUGGUUUUAUUGUAAUUCUAACUGAUUUAUCAGGACAUCGAUAGGUAGGCAGUUUGGGUGGGGCGCCACACCCUCGAAAAAAUAUCAAGGGUGCCCUAAGGUCAACUCAAGCGGGUCAGAAACCCGCUGAAGAGUGUCAAGAGCAAAAGUUGGCCUGACGCGAUUUCGCAUAGCAAGAAAUCGCGAGAGGAAACUCGGGUCUAACGAACCAAUACGCCCUGUUGAUGAGGGCUAUUGACUACAGAAAAGCUACCCCGGGGAUAACAGAGUCGUCGCCGGCAAGAGCACAUAUCGACCCGGCGGCUUGCUACCUCGAUGUCGGUUCUUUCCAUCCUGGCUGUGCAGCAGCAGCCAAGGGUGAGGUUGUUCGCCUAUUAAAGGGGAUCGUGAGCUGGGUUUAGACCGUCGUGAGACAGGUCGGUUACUAUCUAUAAGGAGUGUUGGAAGUCUGAAGGCAAGAAUGAAAUAGUACGAGAGGAACUUUCAUUCGGCGCCACUGGUCUACCGGUUGUCUGACAAGGCAACGCCGGGCAGCUACGCGCCAAGAGAUAAAAGCUGAAAGCAUCUAAGCUUGAAACUCAGCCUGAACAAGAGACUUCAUUAAAGACACGGGUAAAAGACCCGGUUGAUAGGUUCGGGAUGUACGCACGAAGGCAACGACGUGUUCAGUCCGCGAAUACUAAUCGUCCC
Molecule: ribosomal RNA, 1717 nt
Filed under: metagenome
Description: bacterial LSU rRNA
Rfam family: Archaeal large subunit ribosomal RNA
Source: RNAcentral